Molecule: ribosomal RNA, 429 nt
Filed under: uncultured Pseudoxanthomonas sp.
Lineage: Bacteria; Pseudomonadati; Pseudomonadota; Gammaproteobacteria; Lysobacterales; Lysobacteraceae
Description: bacterial SSU rRNA
Rfam family: Bacterial small subunit ribosomal RNA
Source: RNAcentral
UGGGGAAUAUUGGACAAUGGGCGCAAGCCUGAUCCAGCCAUACCGCGUGAGUGAAGAAGGCCCUCGGGUUGUAAAGCUCUUUUGUUGGGAAAGAAAUCCUGCCGGUUAAUACCUGGCAGGGAUGACGGUACCCAAAGAAUAAGCACCGGCUAACUUCGUGCCAGCAGCCGCGGUAAUACGAAGGGUGCAAGCGUUACUCGGAAUUACUGGGCGUAAAGCGUGCGUAGGUGGUUGUUUAAGUCUGUCGUGAAAGCCCUGGGCUCAACCUGGGAAUUGCGAUGGAUACUGGGCAACUAGAGUGUGGUAGAGGGUGGCGGAAUUCCCGGUGUAGCAGUGAAAUGCGUAGAGAUCGGGAGGAACAUCCGUGGCGAAGGCGGCCACCUGGGCCAACACUGACACUGAGGCACGAAAGCGUGGGGAGCAAACAGG